GGCUCAGUGGUCUAGAGGUAUGAUUCUCGCUUUGGGUGCGAGAGGUCCCGGGUUCAAAUCCCGGCUGAGCCC
Non-coding RNA from Harpegnathos saltator (Jerdon's jumping ant), 72 nucleotides. The record is from Rfam. Lineage: Eukaryota; Metazoa; Arthropoda; Insecta; Hymenoptera; Formicidae.